Molecule: ribosomal RNA, 273 nt
Filed under: uncultured bacterium
Lineage: Bacteria
Description: partial 16S ribosomal RNA
Rfam family: Bacterial small subunit ribosomal RNA
Source: RNAcentral
UACGGAGGGUGCAAGCGUUGUCCGGAUUUAUUGGGUUUAAAGGGUGCGUAGGCGGCUAUUUAAGUCAGCGGUGAAAGACAUCGGCUCAACCGAUGCAGUGCCAUUGAUACUGGAUAGCUUGAGUGUUGGAGGGGUACAUGGAAUUGAUGGUGUAGCGGUGAAAUGCAUAGAUACCAUCAGGAACACCGAUAGCGAAGGCAUUGUACUGGCCAACAACUGACGCUGAGGCACGAAAGCAUGGGUAGCGAACAGGAUUAGAAACCCGUGUAGUCC